AUGCCUUUCCAUUUGCCAGCUUCUAAUGGCGAACGGGCGCAGCUUGAAUUCCUGUUAAAGCGCAGACUAACAGCAGCGGUAUGUGGGUCCAGACCCCGUGGAGCACUUCUCCAUGUGGCACCGGGGCUGAUGGACACAGGAGCGACCUUGUGGUCAGGACGUAAAAACAAGCAGCUGGAGCAGAGUUCAGCAGAUGCACGGCGUCAGUCGAUGGAGGGCCCUCGAGCAAGGCACUUCCAGCACGUUUGGCGUCGCUCAGGGGGAGGAACGCAGCUGCUUUCACCCACAUCAGCAUCUGACAGAACAGACAGGACUCCAGAGCUACUGAACUGAAGGAUCAGCUGCACAUUUCAGGAUGAAGAGUCAACACGUUUACUAAAAGAUGCAGACAGAGGAGUCAAAUAAUUCAUCUUUACAAUAACUAAAAACACUUUUAGCAGAAGUUUAACGUUUCUUUGUUUAGUUCCCACUCAGAGGCCUCGUUUCAUUAAGACACCAUGGACGAACACAUGCAUAGAGUGAUGUGUUGGAAGCAUGGGUCCAGUUCCACUUCCUGAACACUUGCUCUGAGAAAAGUCCCUCAUCAACAAAGGCUGCGAUGACAAACCAUGCAGAGGAGCAGAGACUGUGCUCAGGUUGUAGGAACACAGCAGCCGUCCACUAAUUACUCCCUCGCUGACGUACAGGAAACAAUACAACUUUAUUUGUACAGUGGCGCUUUGUGCAACUCGCUGAGCAGAAUGUGAAAAAGCAGAACCUGAAAUCAAGAUGGAGAUUUAUGUUCUCUGUAAGUGAUUGUGCCUUUGGUUUGGACUAAUGAAUAAUUGUUGUUGAUGAGAACCAGCACUGCUGAUAAUUAGCUGGUGAAUGGAGGCAAAGACGCUGCAGCUCAGGUACUGAGCUUAAACCUGAGGCCACCAACACAGCUUUAAUGGUGCUAUUUUCAAAUUAGGUGUUCAGGUUAUUAAAAGCUUGGACGGCCGCAGGCACUUUAAAAACAAUACAGAGGGCAAUUAUUUUCAUAAAGUCAGGGCACAUGUGUGUUUGCUACUGCGCUCUUUAAUUAACUCAGGCUUCCUGAACAGAAAUGCUGCUGAUUGCAUUUUCCUAGAUGACAUGCGUGAGCCUCAGCAGGCGUCUCACCUUCUGCUGCGAUUGUGUUUAACAGAUUUAUUAAACAGAAUAGAUAUUAAUAUACCUGUUGAUUUAUGCCUCUGGCUUUUAUAUUCUGUGGUUUGGUUCUGUACAAGAGUUG
RNAcentral lists this long non-coding RNA (1255 nucleotides) under Betta splendens (Siamese fighting fish). RNAcentral describes it as "lncRNA (ENSBSLG00000010834.1)". The record is from RNAcentral. Lineage: Eukaryota; Metazoa; Chordata; Actinopteri; Anabantiformes; Osphronemidae.